This 516-nucleotide ribosomal RNA is filed under the name uncultured bacterium. Its description in RNAcentral is "partial 16S ribosomal RNA". It matches the Rfam family "Bacterial small subunit ribosomal RNA", at positions 28 to 523 of the family's 1533-position model. The record is from RNAcentral.
GACGAACGCUGGCGGCAUGCCUAAUACAUGCAAGUCGAGCGGAGUUGAUGGAAAGCUUGCUUUCCUGAUGCUUAGCGGCGGACGGGUGAGUAACACGUAGGCAACCUGCCCUCAAGCUUGGGACAACUACCGGAAACGGUAGCUAAUACCGAAUACUUGUUUUCUUCGCCUGAAGAGAACUGGAAAGACGGAGCAAUCUGUCACUUGGGGAUGGGCCUGCGGCGCAUUAGCUAGUUGGUGAGGUAACGGCUCACCAAGGCGACGAUGCGUAGCCGACCUGGGAGGGGGAUCGGCCACACUGGGACUGAGACACGGCCCAGACUCCUACGGGAGGCAGCAGUAGGGAAUCUUCCGCAAUGGGCGAAAGCCUGACGGAGCAAUGCCGCGUGAGUGAUGAAGGUUUUCGGAUCGUAAAGCUCUGUUGCCAGGGAAGAACGCUUGGGAGAGUAACUGCUCUCAAGGUGACGGUACCUGAGAAGAAAGCCCCGGCUAACUACGUGCCAGCCUCCGCAGUAA